CCCCGCCUAGCUCAAUGGUAGAGCGCGCGGCUGUAGACCGCGAGGUUCCUGGUUCAAGUCCGGGGGCGGGGA
This 72-nucleotide transfer RNA is filed under the name Candidatus Woesearchaeota archaeon. RNAcentral's name for it is "tRNA-Tyr". It matches the Rfam family "tRNA". From Rfam's summary of the family: Transfer RNA (tRNA) molecules are approximately 80 nucleotides in length. Their secondary structure includes four short double-helical elements and three loops (D, anti-codon, and T loops). Further hydrogen bonds mediate the characteristic L-shaped molecular structure. tRNAs have two regions of fundamental functional importance: the anti-codon, which is responsible for specific mRNA codon recognition, and the 3' end, to which the tRNAs corresponding amino acid is attached (by aminoacyl-tRNA synthetases). tRNAs cope with the degeneracy of the genetic code in two manners: having more than one tRNA (with a specific anti-codon) for a particular amino acid; and 'wobble' base-pairing, i.e. permitting non-standard base-pairing at the 3rd anti-codon position. The record is from RNAcentral. Lineage: Archaea; Nanobdellati; Candidatus Woesearchaeota.